AAUAGUUAAAACUAUCUAAUAACGCACUUCAAGCCUUGUGUAAUGGGCACUUCAAGAGUGAUUUUCUUAUAAACUGAAGUAGCGAGUAGAAAUCAGCAAUGUCUUCGCAAUAUCGAGUCCCAAAAUGGGCUUCCAAGCCUUGUGUGAUGGGCAUCGAUGAAGCUGGUCAAGGCCUUGUUUUAGGUUUUCUAUGUUCCUAUUCGUUUCGUUCCAUUUCUGCCUCUUUAAUUCCGCUUCGAUCAUCAUAUUUUGGGACUCAAAAAAUUUGAAACAAGAGAAGAGGGAGGAAUUGUUUGAAGAUUUGAAGGCUAACGAGUCAAUUGGAGGGGCUGUUGAUGUCAUAGAUCCUCGAGAACUUUCAUCUAAAAUGCUAAAUAAGUCUUCAGUGGUUUAUAAAUUCUUUCAUUUGCAUAAAUACUUUUAUUUUCACUUUACCUAUUGAAUUCGAUGGUAUAGAGAAUGGAACUUAGUUGAAAUUUCGUAUUUCUUGAGAAAUGGUAUUACAUGAAAUCUCGUCUUUCUUACUGGUACGGUUAGAUGUUUUAGUGUUUAUAAUUCUUUCACUUUAUAGAGCUUCUUCCAUUGGGGCAUCAGCUGGUCGAGGUAUCAUUGGGAGGUAGAACGGCCUAGUUUACGUGUGGGAAUUAUCUAUAGGAAUUAAACUGGGCACUCUUCUUCAUUUUGAAGGUACAAAUGUUGUUUGUAUUGCAAUUGAUAAUAAAGAGAUAGGUGUGGUGGCUGUAGCAGCUGAAAAUAGGCUUCUGGUAUAUCUAGUUCCAUCAGAUUGGAAAAGGGAUUCGGACAAAGUGGAUGAAGAUGAGGAAACAGUUGGAAGUGGUAAAAAAACAAUUAAAACUAAGCAAUCUUGGUAUCACCACAUGGAAGAGAGAGUGAAGAAAUUGAAUCAAAUGCCAAAGGACGGUGCAAGUUUUUCCAGACUAGAUAGGAAGAUUGCAUUGGACAUGUUUUAAGAAGGUUGACAAGUGGAGAAGGUGCAUCCAACACAAAAAGGACUUCAUAACAACAUUAAUAAUAAGUACAAGGAAGUCAUGCUUUCAAUUUGGAUCAAAUAUGUGGUGGAUGGUGGAGAGAACAUAAUAAAGGAGCAAUUGAAAAACUAUUUGGAAAACAAUAUAUAAUGGCAACAAGUGUGUAAUGACCCGACCCCCAAGAACUUAAGUUAGGCUGUUACUAAAUACAUGCAUGUAUGGAACUCAAAACGACAUUCGGUUAUGGUGAAAUAAAUGAUAAUUAAAUAAGGUAAGUU
Molecule: non-coding RNA, 1267 nt
Organism: Benincasa hispida (wax gourd)
Lineage: Eukaryota; Viridiplantae; Streptophyta; Magnoliopsida; Cucurbitales; Cucurbitaceae
Source: RefSeq, a predicted model, not a curated record